Austrofundulus limnaeus is the source of this 626-nucleotide long non-coding RNA. RefSeq lists it as uncharacterized. The transcript has 2 exons. NCBI's taxonomy places the organism in Eukaryota, Metazoa, Chordata, Actinopteri, Cyprinodontiformes, Rivulidae. The record is from RefSeq and is a predicted model, not a curated record.
AAGCUCCUGCAGAAAACAAAGAAAAUAAGCAUGUAUAACAAUCAAAAACUAUUCCCCAUCACCUGUCAUGCCAGAGGUUUAGAUUAAGAUCAUCUUAAGUUGAGAAAUGACACAGCUGUAACGAUUCGAUUAAAUCUGAACCACACAGGCCUGAAUGGUGGAGUCCUGCAGAAACAGGCUGUUGAUCUGGAAGGUUCUCCUCUAUCCACAGACCGAAGCUGGAUGUCUGUCAGAGUGACAGUUUGGGUCUUGGUCACCUCCCUGACUAAAGAGCCCUACAUACUCAAUCUCAAGUCAAAAGUCAACUCGUGGCACAGUCUUUUUCUCACACUUUUCAUAUUUCAUGAGACACAUGAUGCAGAGCUCCUGGGAAAAGCCCUCCCACUGCAGUACACAUCACGACACACGCCACACAAGCACGAGGACAACAUGCAAACUCCACACAGAAAGACCUCAGGUCUGAACCAGGGAUCAAACCCAGAACAUUCUCAGGUUCCCAGGCUCAACAGUCUGUAAGAAACUGUCAGAAAAUAGUGGAACAACUUUCGAAUAACGGCCCUUAAUGAAAAUUUGGGAGGACUUUAGAUAUCACAUCAUAUAUGGUUUAAAAUAUCAUAAGAUUUAAA